Molecule: long non-coding RNA, 764 nt
Organism: Papaver somniferum (opium poppy)
Lineage: Eukaryota; Viridiplantae; Streptophyta; Magnoliopsida; Ranunculales; Papaveraceae
Exons: 3
Source: RefSeq, a predicted model, not a curated record
CACCCCAUUGAGACAGAACAAAACUGCAAAUCAGUUUCUAUUGGUUUCCACUUAAUUAGUUUUCUUUCUUCCGACCAUUAGCUAGGAUAAGAUAUCUGACUUUCUCUCUUAAUUGUUCCCAUCUUUUUUAUGCUGAUUUUAUUUUAUUUUUCUUUCAUUAUUUGUUUUUCAGAUAGUAAUAAACAUCACAAUAAUCUGCGAAUUUUCUUUUGGUAAGUGUAGUGAGAUGGAGGACGAACAAAUUUGGAGAAAGACCAAAUCUAUCAAACGAAGAUUAGCACAAAGAUGGGGACUCAGCCAUGAGAUGGAGGACGAAUAUGCUGCUUGAUUAUCAUCAUCCCUGAGAACCAAAACAAAACUAAAUUACGUUGGACAAAGAUCUUCAAGGAUUACACUGACAUCUCAUGUUAUCUUACAUUUAAUUACUUGAUGAUUCAAACAACAAUUAAAAUGUACCAUGAAAGUGCGUAAUAGCGGAUUUCUCAGUAUGAUCAUCAUAACAGCGUUAUUAGAAGAUUAAAGAAAAAGCAAAUCUUACUGAACAUCUUCGACCAAAGUAAGAUUUUUGAAGUGUGGUAACUCAUAUAGUUUAUUGUUCUUUACUUAGGUUUUUGAAGAAGAUGCGCUGGUCGUUGACCGGAAUAUGCGACUAUGUACACAUAAAAUUUUGAUUGCUUACUUUCCUAAUGUUUUUUUUAGUCAUAGCAUAAUCUUUGUAGCCUUUUUGUUUUGACGGUGUCCGUUCCUUCUCGCGCGCUAUUAAU